Non-coding RNA from Acanthosepion pharaonis, 104 nucleotides. The record is from the annotation of a GenBank genome assembly. Lineage: Eukaryota; Metazoa; Mollusca; Cephalopoda; Sepiida; Sepiidae.
UUACGAGCAUAUCACGCUGGAACACGGGUUCCCGUACGGUCACCGAAGUUAAUCCUGGUCAGUACCUUGAUAGGUGACCACCUGAGAAUUCCAGGUGCUGUAAG